Galeopterus variegatus (Sunda flying lemur) is the source of this 277-nucleotide long non-coding RNA. RefSeq lists it as uncharacterized. NCBI's taxonomy places the organism in Eukaryota, Metazoa, Chordata, Mammalia, Dermoptera, Cynocephalidae. The transcript is spliced from 2 exons. The record is from RefSeq and is a predicted model, not a curated record.
AAUACCCUCGCGGCCCAGACUCCCUCGGGGCCGCUCCUUCGCGCGUCAUUAGUAACUCCGCCAUCUUGGCUAGAAACGACUCUCGCGGGAACUACAAAUACCGACGUACAAAGCAGGUACCGCUCUGGUCCGGAGUUUUGGAGCCAUCGGUAGUCAGGGUACCUAUUUCUGGUGGUGUGGGUCUCUGAACCCUUGACCUUGGUGUUAUGACACUGCGCUCUAAUCAGCUGAGCUAUUCAGCCAGCCUGACUAACCAUCUUGAAGGCAUGUUUUCAAG